CCCACCUACAUAUUUAUACCAAAACAGCCCAAAGAUUUGCCAGCACAAUAUUUUUCAACAUAUACAUUAAACUACUUCAAAAUAAACUUCAUCCAACUUCAAAAUAAACUUCAAACAACUUCAAAAUAAACUAAAAUACGAUCAAACAAUUCCAAAAAUAUAAAAAUCUAAAAUGUCAAAUUAAUACAACUACUCCUCAUCACCCUCCUGAGAAUUAUCAUUCGCAUCACCCUCCCUCUCCUUAUCAAGCUUAUCAUUCUCAUCACCCUCUUGAUCAGAUCCAUCAUUGCUGGCCGGACAUGGAGGAAGAAUUUUUCCAGAUCCACAAAGAAAAGUUAGUUGGGCUUGAAGCAUCACAUACCUCUUAUUUCAAAUAAUGAAUCAAACUAGCUAGGGACUAAUUAAACUUUAUUUAAACUUAUUUC
This 425-nucleotide long non-coding RNA is filed under the name Solanum tuberosum (potato). RNAcentral describes it as "long non-coding RNA (STUB_LNC004534)". Lineage: Eukaryota; Viridiplantae; Streptophyta; Magnoliopsida; Solanales; Solanaceae. The record is from RNAcentral.